Molecule: long non-coding RNA, 2776 nt
Organism: Musa acuminata AAA Group (dessert banana)
Lineage: Eukaryota; Viridiplantae; Streptophyta; Magnoliopsida; Zingiberales; Musaceae
Exons: 3
Source: RefSeq, a predicted model, not a curated record
CAAAUGUCAUAAAGGCAAUGAGUGCGUCGCCCCGCUGACCAUGUUGCAUCAUCGUCAUCGAUGCUUGCCUUUGGCUACAGAACGGGAAAGGCGAUGUACUCGAGCCUCCUCCGACGGCCAUGUAACGGCAGACAAAUGCUCCUGCUCACUUUUCCAGCAGCGAAACUCCUUCUUGGCUCGCUCCUCCUCGCCCUGGUGGCGCUACCCGGCUGGAGACCGCGGCUUCCGCGUCUGCUCGCAGAAGAAACGUACGUGUGGCGAAGCCGGAGACCAAGCGCCCGCGCCCGACCGCUCUUUGGGCACACGCAUCCGCGCGAUACGUCGGCGAGGCUGUAGGCCGUUUGCGAGGUUGCCGCCUUCUUGAGGUGCGGCCGCUGCAAGGCCGUACGCUAUCUGUAAGAAAUCGGGGAUUCACUUCCAUCGCAACUUCUUCUUCUUUGGUUUCACUGACCUCAUCUCGAUUUUUGUUUUCUCUUUUUGGUAGCUUUUGAUUCUUGAUGUUUAAUCAAUGCAUAUAUAAUUGCUUCUCCUUAUAAAUAUAUCGAGUAUUUUUCUAUCAGCUUAAGCUUUUUUGUGGUUACCUAAAUCAAAUCUUUAUCAUUCUAAUUUGGUAAAAGUUGAUGCUUAUGCUAGUUUUCUGUUUGAAACUGAUGCUUACUGAAAUCUAAUUAGGCACUGUAGUCACUGUAGAUAAUUUCUAGUAGAAACUGUGUGCUCGCGGCAUGUAUAUCUCUUUGUAUUCAAGUAGGUGAGAUCCUGAAAAGGGUUUAAAAGGAUUUAUGAAGAAGGGCUGAAUGCGCAAGUUCUUUUCCUUUUUCAAGAUAAGAUUACAUAAUCUCUAACAGAGAUGAAUUAUAUAAAAGAUUCAUUGGCAGCAUUUAUUAGAAUGAGACUUUAAAAUGUUCUUGUGAAAAGUAUAAACACCAUCAAGACCAGUCCGAUGGAAGCACCUACAAUUUGGUACACUGGGGGUUGAUGUCACCUGUGGGACUUGUCGCCAAGGCAAUCAUCAUGUUCUUAGUCAUUUGAUUGAGAUACAGGAGCCGCAGCUUUGUUUGUUACAUUUUUCAAAAAGCUUCUGUGCUAAAUUGAUAUGUGUAGGUCCUUCCUGAGUGCUCAUAAGUCUAUUUAUAACAUUAACUGAGUAUUUCCUUUUUAUUUACAUUCUUGGAUAUCCCAAACAUUGUCACAAUUGAUCUAACAGGUUUUCCAUCAUCUUCAUUUACGCGAAACAAUGCUCAUGUCUGCUAUGAAGCAUAGUGUAAUGAUUUCUUGAAUAUUGCAGCUAUGAGAAAUCUCACAUUAUUCACUGGAGAUUAGGCCAUGAAGUGGCCCAUGCCCCAUUAAGUCUGUCCAACUUGAAUGUCUUUUUGUGUAUCCUUAUGAUUUGUUUGUUAAUAGUUUAUAAUUCAGAAAUGCAUUACGUCUUUAGGAAUUCUAGUAGUCUUUUUAUGUUUUUGAAAGUCUUAUCCAGUGACUGCUGCAACCACUUCAAGGACGAUAAACUUAUAGUAGUAAAGAUGUGUAGAGAAGUUGUAUCUUAUAUUUGGGUAAAGAAAUAGAAAUAAUGUACAUAAACAUGUCUUCAUGAAUAUUAAGUGCCCAUUUUUUUCACAAAGGGGGAAACACAACGUGAAAGCUUUCGGUAGGAUCCAUGGAUCUUGACUUCAGCAUGUGUUUUGGUUAUCUGAAAGUCAUGGACGUGACAUUACCAGAAAUCAAAUCAAAUAAGAGACGGUCAGUUUUCACUAUCCUACAAAUUACUUCAGAACUCUCUCCAUAUAAGUUCAUCUUUUUCAAAUUUAAAGCUUUCCAAAAGUCAGUUUCCAAGUUCCAGCCAAAUCCGGUGAACCACGCACCAACUUGGGCCACUUUCGCCAUAAUUGACACAAAUAUAAAUGAUUGUUUAUCCGCUUUGGACUUUUUUGCCUCUUAUGCUUUCUUAUUUUAAUGUACUGUUAAAUCUGGAGUUAUGUAAUCACCGUAAAUUCCCUUUUUGGGAACUAUGGGAAUAUAUUGGCUGGUGCAUUAUAACCCCUCUUUUGGGAACUAUGUCAUCUUGUAAGAAUUACAACUUUUUUGUUCUUAGGUGUUGUCUAGUCAUCAACAACCAUACCAGAAAGGAGAGUGCAAUCCAAAUUGGAUCAUCAAGCUGGGUUCUUCCAUGGCUCUAGUUACAUUCAAAACAAAGGCAGAGAGACUGUACAAGAAUCUGGAUAAGAUGGAGGCUUCUUUGUCUGCUAACAUAUCUGAGCAGCAGGGACAGUACUAAUUUACAGUUCCUAAGUUGCUGUUCAUUCUAAGCCAUCUCUGGAGGCAGUUUGAUGCUGCAAGAACCUACACAAGGCUGACUGAAGACGUGAAGCCUGAGAAGCUUCUGGCUAUAAGGGCAAAGCUAACACAACAGCUGAUAGGGAUGCCCUUUCUUCCGAGGUGCCCUUCUCUUUUUCUUAUGUCAACAUUUUUGGUAACUCCCAACGAUCCGUCAGCAAAUCCUGAGUUAGUGCCUAUGUGGUUGUGCUCUCAAGGUCAGAGAUCAACAUGUUGGCUGAAAGCCUCCACACCCUGAUUACUUGCAUGGACUAGGAAACUGAAACUGAUGACUGGAAAAAUACAAUGGAUCUCAUAUAUAUACAUGAUCGAGGGAGCAUUUAUUUAUAGUGGAUAUAUGGUUUCUUUUCCUGUGGGUGUUAGAGAGCAUUGAUCAAUAAUGGUUGUUUGAGGCUGCUGGUUCUUUGUGCCUUUUUAACUCAAAUAAAGAUCAUAUUGUGUGACA